Molecule: ribosomal RNA, 496 nt
Filed under: uncultured bacterium
Lineage: Bacteria
Description: partial 16S ribosomal RNA
Rfam family: Bacterial small subunit ribosomal RNA
Source: RNAcentral
GAUGAACGCUGGCGGCGUGCCUAAUACAUGCGAGUCGAGCGAACGGACGAGAAGCUUGCUUCUCUGAUGUUAGCGGCGGACGGGUGAGUAACACGUGGAUAACCUACCUAUAAGACUGGGAUAACUUCGGGAAACGGUAGCUAAUACGGAUAAUAUUUUGAACCGCAUGGUUCAAAAGUGAAAGACGGUCUUGCUGUCACUUAUAGAUGGAUCCGCGCUGCAUUAGCUAGUUGGUAAGGUAACGGCUUACCAAGGCAACGAUGCAUAGCCGACCUGAGAGGGUGAUCGGCCACACUGGAACUGAGACACGGUCCAGACUCCUACGGGAGGCAGCAGUAGGGAAUCUUCCGCAAUGGGCGAAAGCCUGACGGAGCAACGCCGCGUGAGUGAUGAAGGUCUUCGGAUCGUAAAACUCUGUUAUUAGGGAAGAACAUAUGUGUAAGUAACUGUGCACAUCUUGACAGUACCUAAUCAGAAAGCCACGGCUAACUACGUG